Molecule: long non-coding RNA, 1231 nt
Organism: Pan troglodytes (chimpanzee)
Lineage: Eukaryota; Metazoa; Chordata; Mammalia; Primates; Hominidae
Source: Ensembl
ACCAGUACUAACAGAAGCUGCAGAAUCAAGUGCUAUUGGUCCUGCUAUUUACACUAAAAUGGGUAACCCCAGUGUGAGUGACGGCGAAGUCCUUUCAAACCCAGAGGUUAAAAUCUUACUUCCUUUCUUACACUCCUUUUCAUCUUUGCUUCGGUGUAAAAUCUGCAUGACUUAUUAUGCCAUUGUUGAACUGCUCUCUGACCUCAUUAACAUUCUUAUCUCCCAGAAAAAAAAAAAUGUUACAAGAGACCUGUCUGGUUAUUAUCUCUGCCACCUAAGACUUAAAGCUUCACUAUAAUUUCCAAAUACAUCUACCUUGAAAUAUCUAAGCUUACGUGUCUCAGCUACUUCCCCAAGUAUGCUGAAUUCUAACGGUAGAGAUUCACUAAACCUAUUUUCUUUUUCACACUUCAUAAUCCCUGGUACAGGAAAUGGCUCAAAGCACUAAAUUCGAUUUGUUUUUCAAAAAACAACAAAGCCAUAAAAUUCUAGAACAGUAACACUCAAUCUUAGGAUAUACAACAGGAUACAGCUACAGAUAAGAGCUCUUGGUUUAUUCCGGUGUUUCAAUAGGAACACAGACACACGCGUGCGUAAACACACACACACAUGGUGGGAGAGAUGGAGCAGUUCUUGCCCCCUCGGACUACGAAGUGGAAGCUGCAUGCUCCCAGCCUGCACAUGGCGAGCAUGGAGGUUCCUGAUGCUUGUGGAGCUCCUACAGCCUCACUGGGCUCACUUCACAUCUAAAUGUUCACCAAACGUAGCUACAGAUGCUGUUGCAAAAUGAGGCAAGAGUGAGUUCUGCCAAGAGCAAUGUCCAUCAUGCAAAAUGCCUACUACCUAGGAGCUUUCAGAAGAAAUAAUCUAGGAAGUGUCAUCACUCCAGGCCACGGUGGCAUUCGUGAAUGGGAAACAAUGUUUGGAAAGUGUGCCGUUUUGACAUCAGUGUGGCUCUGGCAACGUUGGAUGGAUGAGAUGAGUAGGAAUCAGUGUGAAGUCCGCAUUACAACAUGCUUGGAUUCAGUUAUGCCAAUGGUAAUGGAAAGAAAGAGGAAAGAUUUCAGAGAAGUAUGCAAAGAAAAAAAAGAAACAAAUUGUCAAUAGAUAGAAUAAAAGAAAAGAUAAAAUCUAAAAAUGUUCUUGAUGUUUCAUGCCUGCGUGACUGAAAAAAAAAGUGCUACUAUUUAGAAGUAUGCAGAUAUCAUUAAGAACAUUUGGGGGCAAAAAG